Molecule: ribosomal RNA, 440 nt
Filed under: uncultured bacterium
Lineage: Bacteria
Description: partial 16S ribosomal RNA
Rfam family: Bacterial small subunit ribosomal RNA
Source: RNAcentral
CCUACGGGAGGCAGCAGUGGGGGAUAUUGCACAAUGGGGGGAACCCUGAAGCAGCGACGCCGCGUGGGUGAAGAAGCGCCUCGGCGCGUAAAGCUCUGUCAGCAGGGAAGAAAAUGACGGUACCUGAAGAAGAAGCCCCGGCUAACUACGUGCCAGCAGCCGCGGUAAUACGUAGGGGGCAAGCGUUAUCCGGAUUUACUGGGUGUAAAGGGGGCGCAGACGGCGAGGCUAGCCAGGAGUGAAAGGCCGGGGCCCAACCCCGGGACUGCGCUGGGAACUGCGUGGCUGGAGUGCGGGAAGGGCAGGCGGAAUUCCUGGUGUAGCGGUGAAAUGCUUAGAUAUCAGGAGGAACACCGGUGGCGAAGGCGGCCUGCUGGACUGCAACUGACGUUGAGGCCCGAAAGCGUGGGGAGCAAACAGGAUUAGAUACCCUGGUAGUC